GACGAACGCUGGCGGCGUGCUUAACACAUGCAAGUCGAACGGUAAGGCCCUUCGGGGUACACGAGUGGCGAACGGGUGAGUAACACGUGGGUGAUCUGCCCUGCACUUCGGGAUAAGCCUGGGAAACUGGGUCUAAUACCGGAUAGGACUCCGGACUGCAUGGUCUGGGGUGGAAAGCUUUUGCGGUGUGGGAUGGGCCCGCGGCCUAUCAGCUUGUUGGUGGGGUGGUGGCCUACCAGGGCGACGACGGGUGGCCGGCCUGAGAGGGUGCCCGGCCACACUGGGACUGAGAUACGGCCCAGACUCCUACGGGAGGCAGCAGUGGGGAAUAUUGCACAAUGGGCGCAAGCCUGAUGCAGCGACGCCGCGUGAGGGAUGACGGCCUUCGGGUUGUAAACCUCUUUCAGCAUCGACGAAGCGAAAGUGACGGUAGGUGCAGAAGAAGGACCGGCCAACUACGUGCCAGCAGCCGCGGUAA
This 478-nucleotide ribosomal RNA is filed under the name uncultured bacterium. Its description in RNAcentral is "partial 16S ribosomal RNA". It matches the Rfam family "Bacterial small subunit ribosomal RNA", at positions 28 to 523 of the family's 1533-position model. The record is from RNAcentral.